GAUGAACGCUGGCGGCGUGCCUAAUACAUGCAAGUCGAACGAGUUCUGAUUAUUGAAAGGUGCUUGCAUCUUGAUUUAAUUUUGAACGAGUGGCGGACGGGUGAGUAACACGUGGGUAACCUGCCCUUAAGUGGGGGAUAACAUUUGGAAACAGAUGCUAAUACCGCAUAAACCCAAGAACCGCAUGGUUCUUGGCUGAAAGAUGGCGCAAGCUAUCGCUUUUGGAUGGACCCGCGGCGUAUUAGCUAGUUGGUGAGGUAACGGCUCACCAAGGCAAUGAUACGUAGCCGAACUGAGAGGUUGAUCGGCCACAUUGGGACUGAGACACGGCCCAAACUCUACGGGAGGCAGCAGUAGGGAAUCUUCCACAAUGGACGCAAGUCUGAUGGAGCAACGCCGCGUGAGUGAAGAAGGCUUUCGGGUCGUAAAACUCUGUUGUUGGAGAAGAAUGGUCGGCAGAGUAACUGUUGUCGGCGUGACGGUAUCCAACCAGAAAGCCACGGCUAACUACGUGCCAGCAGCCGCGGUAAUACGUAGGUGGCAGGCGUUAUCCGGAUUUAUUGGGCGUAAAGCGAGCGCAGGCGGUUUUUUAAGUCUGAUGUGAAAGCCCUCGGCUUAACCGAGGAAGUGCAUCGGAAACUGGGAAACUUGAGUGCAGAAGAGGACAGUGGAACUCCAUGUGUAGCGGUGAAAUGCGUAGAUAUAUGGAAGAACACCAGUGGCGAAGGCGGCUGUCUGGUCUGUAACUGACGCUGAGGCUCGAAAGCAUGGGUAGCGAACAGGAUUAGAUACCCUGGUAGUCCAUGCCGUAAACGAUGAAUGCUAGGUGUUGGAGGGUUUCCGCCCUUCAGUGCCGCAGCUAACGCAUUAAGCAUUCCGCCUGGGGAGUACGACCGCAAGGUUGAAACUCAAAGGAAUUGACGGGGGCCCGCACAAGCGGUGGAGCAUGUGGUUUAAUUCGAAGCAACGCGAAGAACCUUACCAGGUCUUGACAUCUUUUGAUCACCUGAGAGAUCAGGUUUCCCCUUCGGGGGCAAAAUGACAGGUGGUGCAUGGUUGUCGUCAGCUCGUGUCGUGAGAUGUUGGGUUAAGUCCCGCAACGAGCGCAACCCUUAUGACUAGUUGCCAGCAUUUAGUUGGGCACUCUAGUAAGACUGCCGGUGACAAACCGGAGGAAGGUGGGGAUGACGUCAAAUCAUCAUGCCCCUUAUGACCUGGGCUACACACGUGCUACAAUGGAUGGUACAACGAGUUGCGAGACCGCGAGGUCAAGCUAAUCUCUUAAAGCCAUUCUCAGUUCGGACUGUAGGCUGCAACUCGCCUACACGAAGUCGGAAUCGCUAGUAAUCGCGGAUCAGCACGCCGCGGUGAAUACGUUCCCGGGCCU
This 1387-nucleotide ribosomal RNA is filed under the name uncultured bacterium. RNAcentral's name for it is "bacterial SSU rRNA". It matches the Rfam family "Bacterial small subunit ribosomal RNA", at positions 28 to 1381 of the family's 1533-position model. The record is from RNAcentral.